Molecule: unclassified non-coding RNA, 309 nt
Filed under: uncultured Ascomycota
Lineage: Eukaryota; Fungi; Ascomycota
Description: sequence contains ITS1
Rfam family: 5.8S ribosomal RNA (bases 1-106)
Source: RNAcentral
AAAAUGCGAUAUCUAGUGUGAAUUGCAGAUUUACGUGAAUCAUCGAGUCUCUGAACGCAAAUUGCGCUCCACGGCCAUUCCGUGGAGCAUACCUGUUUGAGUCUCACCUUUUUCCUUUCUUUUUCCAGAAAACAUGCGCCUCUUUUCCCCCCUCUGCUGGGGGGAAAACGGCGUCAAACGCAAGCCGCGUGCGUCGGGAAAAACAGCGCAGUGUGCUCAUCCCACCUGCGUCUGGCCGUCGCGGCGCACAGCGAAAAACAAAACAUCAGAACCGAGCUCAAAUCAGGCAGGACUACCCGCUGAACUUAA